Molecule: ribosomal RNA, 496 nt
Filed under: uncultured bacterium
Lineage: Bacteria
Description: partial 16S ribosomal RNA
Rfam family: Bacterial small subunit ribosomal RNA
Source: RNAcentral
AUGAACGCUGGCGGCGUGCCUAAUACAUGCAGGUCGAGCGAACAGACGAGGAGCUUGCUCCUCUGACGUUAGCGGCGGACGGGUGAGUAACACGUGGAUAACCUACCUAUAAGACUGGGAUAACUUCGGGAAACCGGAGCUAAUACCGGAUAAUAUAUUGAACCGCAUGGUUCAAUAGUGAAAGACGGUUUUGCUGUCACUUAUAGAUGGAUCCGCGCCGCAUUAGCUAGUUGGUAAGGUAACGGCUUACCAAGGCAACGAUGCGUAGCCGACCUGAGAGGGUGAUCGGCCACACUGGAACUGAGACACGGUCCAGACUCCUACGGGAGGCAGCAGUAGGGAAUCUUCCGCAAUGGGCGAAGGCUUGACGGAGCAACGCCGCGUGAGUGAUGAAGGUCUUCGGAUCGUAAAACUCUGUUAUUAGGGAAGAACAAAUGUGUAAGUAACUAUGCACGUCUUGACGGUACCUAAUCAGAAAGCCACGGCUAACUACGUG